AGGAUGGAAUGGAUGUCGUCU
RNAcentral lists this microRNA (21 nucleotides) under Ananas comosus (pineapple). RNAcentral describes it as "microRNA s0060_c035". Lineage: Eukaryota; Viridiplantae; Streptophyta; Magnoliopsida; Poales; Bromeliaceae. The record is from RNAcentral.